AGACGCUUUUUAUGAAUGCCUGUAGUUACAGAACAAAAUGCAACAGUUUUCAACUGAAAGAGGGUAGUUUUAGACAGGAAAUAAGGGAAGACUUUUUUUAUUAUGAGGGUUGUGAGACCCUGGAACAGGCUGUUCAGAGAAGCUCCCUGGAGUGUUCAAGGCCAGGCUGGAUGUGGCUUUCAGCCACCUGAUCUAGUAGAAGAUGGCCCUGACUAUGGCAGGGAGGUUGGAGUAGAUAAUCUUUAAAGAUCCCUCCCAACCCAAAUAAUUCUGUGAUUCCAUGAUUCAUUUGUGUCAGGUGCAGAGUUUUAACAAUAAAACAACCAAAGUUUAAAGCUAAUAAAUCAUACAGUGCAUCUCAUUCAAGAAGACUGAAAACAGAAGAACAGUAUGAGGUAGCAACUCUUUGUUUAUAUUUUUUUACUCAGGGUUUCCUAUGGCAUCUCUGUUGAAGAAAUCAUAAACAGCCAAAUCAAAACAACUUGAAGAAAAUAAAACAACAUCGGUCAUCAUAUACCAGUCACAGUCCUGUGGUUCCUUGAGCCUGCUGGCCAGUCACUCAUCUGAGGAUUAUAUUUGGAGUUUAGUUUUUGAGAGCCGGUUCGGAUGAUCAUCAGACUAUUACUCCAUAGUACUGAAUGUUUGACACACGUACACAAAUCACUUUUGGCCUUCAAUCAGGAAACGUUAGUUCGUAUGCCAGAAAGACACCAAAAAACUGUAUGGAGCCAUAAAAAAUCAGCAGGUCUAAUUCAAGAGUCUGGCAAAUGAACAAGGUGAUCAUACUGAAGAUACAUUCUGAAAAGUUACAGCCUGUUCUAAGGGAGAUUCACCCACCAAAAAAAAGUUAUUUAGUCAUUGGUCCAUGUUCUCAGAUGUUCAUUGUAAGAUGGACCAUUUUCAGAAGUGCUUUUGUAGGGGCACUUCAACAGUUCACUGUGAAAAGCUUUUAUGUUGCCCCAAGUAAAUGCAUGAAAAAUAAAUUAUGUGUCAGCAUUGUUAACUAUAUUUCUAAGCAGACUCAUAUUCUCCACACCAUGAAGAGGAAAGCAUUUCUCACAUUUGGCAGUUGGCAGUGCUGUGGAUUUAAAAAGCAUUUUGUAGGAACCUUUUGAACGAAAUUUACUGUUCAGGACAAAGGCCAAUUCCAAGGACCUUCAGUAAGCAAAACUAUACAGAGAACCAUUUAGACAGCAGAUGUCUGCUAUUGAGAGACUAGCCUUUUCUAUUUAAGGAUUGCCAUUCACAAAGACAAAUGACCAUUAAUAGGAAUUAAUUCCCUUUUUUAUGUUUGUUUUGAACAAUUACUAGUUUAAUAUUAAAAUAUCAGUCAUUAAGGUACCUAGUCUUGUGCUAGACAGCAGUAGAUAGAGGUAGAUCAAUCAGCAGAAAGAACAGGAAAGCAAGAACCCACAACACUUUUAUGCCUAGGAGUUGAAAAUAUAACAAAGGGGAAAAAAAUGCUUUUUAGGAGGAGCAUUGCUAAGCUUGAAUAUUCUGUAACCCCAGAAUCAUAAAGGUAUAGAUGGAAUUGUAAAGCUUGUUAUUUUUUAAUUUUUAUAUAUAUAUGUAUAUAUUUUAGUUAAGUAUCAUCCCUCAACUAACUUGGAGCAAUAAAGCAUGUUAUGUAUCA
This is a long non-coding RNA of Apus apus (common swift), 1633 nucleotides long. RefSeq lists it as uncharacterized. Lineage: Eukaryota; Metazoa; Chordata; Aves; Apodiformes; Apodidae. The transcript is spliced from 2 exons. The record is from RefSeq and is a predicted model, not a curated record.